CAACACUCACUAAUCCAUCCCUCUCACAAAUGCCCUCCAUAUAGGCCAAGAAUCACCUACAAACAUCCUUGAUAUGGAUAGUCUUAUUCUUCUCGUCAUUUACUUCUUCUCCUUCUUCAAUGUAUCUUAUUCUCUGUUGUUUCUAAUCGAUUAUAUCUUCUUCUCAUCCAAAAUUCAACCAAAAGUUAAGUUGAAAAAAGGUACUUACGAUCUUGUAAGUGGUUUUAUUUAUUUCAUUGUUCUUUGCUUCUUUCUAUCCGUAUAAUAGGAGUUCAACUACGAUGUAAAGAAAUUUUUUUUUACCAACAACAUGCUGACCAAUUGUUUGAUGUAUUGCUUAUCACUAGGACCUGUUAGCUUGCAUUUUUUCUCCAUUUAAAUGCUUUUAUUUGUUUAUGUUAUUAUUUAGGCAUUGAUUUUUGUUUCAUUAAGGUUGUGAAAGAUGGCACAUCAGGCAUGGGUGAAGCUUUUAAGGGGCGGCCAACCCUUCGAACUUUUCGUUCGGUGAGAGAAAUGAUCAGAAGCCAGAAGUUGUUUAGUCGUCGGUUGCGGGUGGUUCAAUAUGUGCUUUAACCCAUCUUCAAACCCAGUUAUUUAAUGUAUGCCAUCUACUCGGAUGUUCGUUAACAAACCAGGGGGCUGGACGUGAACUCCAUAAACGUGUCUCAAGGUAAUUUCUAUGGUUCUGGUUCCAAGUAUGAUGGAAGAUGUCUGUUCGGGUUGCAAGAAUGAAGGGAAGAGGUCGGUUUAGGUUGCAAGUAUGAAGGCAUUGGUUCGGGAAUGUACAUCACAUUCAUCUUCAGAGUUGUGUUACUUUGAAGUUUUUGUAAAUUUGUGUUACUUUAAAAACUUUGUAAUUUAUCUUCUUGGGUUAUUUUAUAUUGGU
Helianthus annuus (common sunflower) is the source of this 886-nucleotide long non-coding RNA. RefSeq lists it as uncharacterized. The transcript has 4 exons. The record is from RefSeq and is a predicted model, not a curated record. NCBI's taxonomy places the organism in Eukaryota, Viridiplantae, Streptophyta, Magnoliopsida, Asterales, Asteraceae.